GAAAUGGCCGAAUGGAUAAGGUGUUAGCGUUGCGAUCACAAUGUCGUGGGUUCGAUUCCUACAGGGGGUACG
Molecule: non-coding RNA, 72 nt
Organism: Aromia moschata
Lineage: Eukaryota; Metazoa; Arthropoda; Insecta; Coleoptera; Cerambycidae
Source: the annotation of a GenBank genome assembly